Molecule: RNA transcript, 2089 nt
Organism: Cervus elaphus (red deer)
Lineage: Eukaryota; Metazoa; Chordata; Mammalia; Artiodactyla; Cervidae
Gene name: SIN3-HDAC complex-associated factor-like
Exons: 1
Source: RefSeq, a predicted model, not a curated record
GAGCCGCGCGUGCGCAGAGGGAAAGCGGAAUCUACACCUUCCCCGCCAGCGGUAGCAACUGCAGAACUGCAGGAGACAAUCUUUCUAGACAAGGCUGUUGAGGAGGAGGGAGCGAUUGAAGGGGGGGUUGACUUAGCGUGCACUGCGCCCCUCGGGAUCGUUGUUGCGCGUGAAACGGCUGCUUUUGGAAGGCUAUUGCCCAGAAGAAAAGAUGUUUGGUUUUCACAAGCCAAAGAUGUACCGAAGUAUAGAGGGCUGCUGCAUUUGCAGAGCUAAAUCCUCCAGUUCUCGGUUCACUGACAGUAAACGCUAUGAAAAGGAUUUCCAGAGCUGUUUUGGGUUACAUGAGACUCGUUCAGGAGAUAUCUGUAAUGCCUGUGUCCUGCUUGUGAAAAGAUGGAAGAAAUUGCCAGCAGGAUCAAAAAAAAACUGGAAUCAUGUGGUAGAUGCAAGGGCAGGACCCAGUCUAAAGACUACACUGAAACCAAAGAAAGUGAAAACUCUAUCUGGAAACAGGAUAAAAAGUAACCAGAUCAGUAAACUGCAGAAGGAAUUUAAACGCCACAAUUCUGAUGCUCACAGUACAACCUCAAGUGCCUCUCCAGCUCAGUCUCCCUGUUACAGUAACCAGUCAGAUGAUGGCUCAGAUACAGAGAUGGCUUCUGGCUCCAACAGAACGCCAGUGUUUUCCUUUUUAGAUCUCACAUACUGAAAAAGACAGAAAAUAUGCUGUGGCAUUAUCUAUAAAGGCCGUUUUGGGGAAGUCCUCAUCGACACACAUCUAUUCAAGCCUUGCUGCAGCAAUAAGAAAGCAGCUGCUGAGAAGCCGGAGGAGCAGGGGCCAGAGCCUCUGCCCAUCUCCACUCAGGAGUGGUGACUAAGCUUUAUGUAGACGGGGAGCAAAAAUGAUUUAAAUUUUGGAAAACAAAGCAACAAAAUGACCCUCCUAUUUUUAAUUUGGAUACCUGCUAUUCUGCCAAAAAGAUGGAUUUGUAGAAUAGUUUUGAAUGGGUUAUUUUUCCUCCAGUUCCACAAACUCUGAAGCCAGUGAAGCUUACUAAGAGAUAAAAAAAGAAGUGUACAUAAUAUUUAAAAUGCUGAGUAUUUCAUAGGAAAGCUGAAUGCUGCUGUAAAGUGCUCUUUAAGUCUUUUUUAAAAAUCCCCUUCUAAUGAAUGAAAUUAGGGGAAUUUUCAGGGGACAGAGAUGGGAUUUGUUGUAUGAUAAACGUAUGUAGUUUUAGUCUUUCUAUUUUGAGAAGCAGUGGUUGGGGCAUUUUUUAAGAUGGCUGGCUACACUUGUUUUCCUUCAUUAUAAUAAAUUUGUCAUAACUCAGUAAACAUGGACUUGCCCCUAGAGGUAGUUGUUAAUAACUGAAAUAUUAAGGUCUUGCCAAGGUUCUGGUGAUUCAAACCUGUACUACUGAAUAUUAAGCGGGACAGACAGCUCUCUGGUGCGAAUAUCUUGAAGGAGCAAUUUCUAAAUAGGCAGAGGUAACCUGACUGUAUAUGUUGCAUCCUGUGUCACCUCCCUCCAUAUUGAUAUUUGAUACAGAUUUUAAUUUAUAUGAAACUUAAAAAGCAGAAUCAAAACUUAAAGCAGAAUCAAAGUUCCUCUUGGGGAAAUGUCAAGUCUUUAGGAGAAGCAAUCCUAUAUGAAUAGUACCAAAGCAUUACCACUUGGUAGAGAACAUUCUCUAUUAAAAAUGUUAGAUUAUCUGAAAAAUAACAAUGUGCAAGUCUUUAGGAUGGCACACGAAAACAACAAAGGUUAAUGCUUCUUGGGGCACAGUUCUUAGAGGGCUUGCAAGUGUGUAAAUAAUUUAUGUUACGUGACUGGUGACUUCACUGAAAAAUCUGCACAAUUCAGUUUUAGCUCUGGAUUACUUCAGUUGACCUUUGUGAAGGUUUUAUCUGUGUAGAAUGGUUGUUUGACUUGUUUUAACCUGUUAGGGUUUUGGGUUUGUUUUUUUUUUUUUUUCAUUCUAUAUUAAAAGUCUACUAAAAGAAAAGAGGUGUGUGUUAAUGCUGAGUGGGUUGGUUUUGGUUUGGCUUCUUUUAGUCAGGCUUUCUGAACAUUGAGGUGUUAGAU